This 462-nucleotide unclassified non-coding RNA is filed under the name Hevea brasiliensis (rubber tree). Lineage: Eukaryota; Viridiplantae; Streptophyta; Magnoliopsida; Malpighiales; Euphorbiaceae. The record is from RNAcentral.
CCGGAUUGCUGGUCGGAGGUUUGCGGAGACUCUCGGAUGGAAGCCACAGGUCGACGCCGCGUCUACUGGUGCGCGAAAUCCUGGGCAUUGAGUCCGGCCGGCACUCCGAAACUGCUGGCCAGNNNNNNNNNNNNNUCCCACUGACCCGCAAUAAAAUCGGGCUUGUGCCGCAUCAGGGCGAGUCAGCUGGGUAUUCGCGAGGAGCUUGCCACACAAAUGUGCGCGGCGCUGGUAGCUCCCAUCACGCCAAGUCCUCGUGGAGCAGCGCCGUGUUGAUCCAAUGGCCGCNNNNNNCGGCAGCGGCGAUGAUGGCCUGCAGCACGUCGCGCGACGCAUCUCCUGCCACAUAAAGACCCGGCACAUGGGUCAUCUGCUGGUCGUUGUCCACUGUGCAGCCCUUGGGACUAUACGUGUCGCAACCGAGACGCGCCGCGAGAUCGGUGGACUGGCGACUUUCCGUGU